Molecule: ribosomal RNA, 621 nt
Filed under: uncultured Verrucomicrobiota bacterium
Lineage: Bacteria; Pseudomonadati; Verrucomicrobiota
Description: bacterial SSU rRNA
Rfam family: Bacterial small subunit ribosomal RNA
Source: RNAcentral
UAGCAAUACGAUGGAAAGUUUAGUGGCGAACGGGUGCUUAACACGUGGGCAACCUGCCAGGAAGUGGGGGAUAGCUCGCCGAAAGGCGAAUUAAUACCGCAUGUGAUUAGAGAGGACAUCCUUUCAAAAUUAAAGUCGGGGCAACCUGACGCUUCUUGUGGGGCCCGCGGCCUAUCAGCUAGUUGGUGAGGUAACGGCUCACCAAGGCGAUGACGGGUAGCUGGUCUGAGAGGACGACCAGCCACACUGGAACUGAGACACGGUCCAGACACCUACGGGUGGCAGCAGUCGAGAAUUUUUCUCAAUGGGGGAAACCCUGAAGGAGCGACGCCGCGUGGAGGAUGAAGGUCUUCGAAUUGUAAACUCCUGUCAUUGGUGAACAAGGCCCACGCAGUAACUGGUGUUGGGUUUGAUAGUAGCCGAAGAGGAAGAGACGGCUAACUCUGUGCCAGCAGCCGCGGUAAUACAGAGGUCUCAAGCGUUGUUCGGAUUCAUUGGGCGUAAAGGGUGCGUAGGCUGUGGGGUAAGUCUGGUGUGAAAUCCCGGAGCUCAACUCCGGAACUGCACUGGAUACUGCUUUACUAGAGCACUGGAGAGGGAACUGGAAUUCACGGUGUAGCA